UUUCCGUAGGUGAACCUGCGGAAGGAUCAUUAACACAUCCUAACAACAAACUCAAUUGUUCUCACACCAAGAACUACUGUGUUUUCACAACAACAAACACCAUAACUGCUUGUGUGUGGAGUGCCUCCGAAAGGCGGCGCUCCGGACACGGGCACCCCUACAUCCAACCACAAACCCCUUUCACUAAACCAAAACAAACAUUUAACAACCCCAUUCUAAAACCAAAACAUAUCUAAAAAUCUAAUGUCUAAACGACUCUUAGCAACGGAUAUCUUGGUUCUC
Molecule: unclassified non-coding RNA, 282 nt
Filed under: soil metagenome
Description: partial contains small subunit ribosomal RNA, internal transcribed spacer 1, and 5.8S ribosomal RNA
Source: RNAcentral